Non-coding RNA from Actinobacteria bacterium RBG_16_67_10, 88 nucleotides. The record is from Rfam. NCBI's taxonomy places the organism in Bacteria, Bacillati, Actinomycetota.
GCCGGGGUGGCGGAACGGGUGAGACGCGCCUGCCUUAAAAGCAGGUGUCCCUUAGCGGGACGUGUGGGUUCGACUCCCACCCCCGGCA